GAUGAACGCUGGCGGCGUGCCUAAUACAUGCAAGUCGAGCGAACAGACGAGGAGCUUGCUCCUCUGACGUUAGCGGCGGACGGGUGAGUAACACGUGGAUAACCUACCUAUAAGACUGGGAUAACUUCGGGAAACCGGAGCUAAUACCGGAUAAUAUAUUGAACCGCAUGGUUCAAUAGUGAAAGACGGUUUUGCUGUCACUUAUAGAUGGAUCCGCGCCGCAUUAGCUAGUUGGUAAGGUAACGGCUUACCAAGGCAACGAUGCGUAGCCGACCUGAGAGGGUGAUCGGCCACACCGGAACUGAGACACGGUCCAGACUCCUACGGGAGGCAGCAGUAGGGAAUCUUCCGCAAUGGGCGAAAGCUUGACGGAGCAACGCCGCGUGAGUGAUGAAGGUCUUCGGAUCGUAAAACUCUGUUAUUAGGGAAGAACAAAUGUGUAAGUAACUAUGCACGUCUUGACGGUACCUAACCAGAAAGCCACGGCUAACUACGUG
This 497-nucleotide ribosomal RNA is filed under the name uncultured bacterium. RNAcentral's name for it is "partial 16S ribosomal RNA". It matches the Rfam family "Bacterial small subunit ribosomal RNA", at positions 28 to 507 of the family's 1533-position model. The record is from RNAcentral.